RNAcentral lists this RNase P RNA (231 nucleotides) under Acidimicrobiales bacterium. Its description in RNAcentral is "partial RNase P RNA component class A". It matches the Rfam family "Bacterial RNase P class A", at positions 1 to 207 of the family's 367-position model. Rfam says of the family: Ribonuclease P (RNase P) is a ubiquitous endoribonuclease, found in archaea, bacteria and eukarya as well as chloroplasts and mitochondria. Its best characterised activity is the generation of mature 5'-ends of tRNAs by cleaving the 5'-leader elements of precursor-tRNAs. The record is from RNAcentral. Lineage: Bacteria; Bacillati; Actinomycetota; Acidimicrobiia; Acidimicrobiales.
UGAGCCGGCCGGGUGGCCGCGGCGUGGUCCGCCACGCUGAGGAAGGUCGGGGCUCCAGAGGACAGGAUGCUGGCUAGCGGCCAGUCGGGGCGACCCGCAGGAAAGUGCCACAGAGAACAGACCGCCGAUGGCCCGGUUCGCCUCCCCUCGGGGCGGGGUGCCGGGCACAGGUGAGGGUGAAACGGUGCGGUAAGAGCGCACCAGCGACCGGGGCGACCCGGGCGGCUAGGC